RNAcentral lists this ribosomal RNA (468 nucleotides) under uncultured bacterium. RNAcentral describes it as "partial 16S ribosomal RNA". It matches the Rfam family "Bacterial small subunit ribosomal RNA", at positions 28 to 507 of the family's 1533-position model. The record is from RNAcentral.
GACGAACGCUGGCGGCGUGCUUAACACAUGCAAGUCGAGCGGAAAGGCACUGCUUUUGUGGGGUGCUCGGGUGGCGAACGGGUGCGUAACACGAGAGUAACCUGCCCUAGACUUUGGGAUAACUUCAGGAAACUGAGGUUACUACCGUAUAGCAGCUGCUGCUGCGUGGUGGGCGUUGGAAAGUUUCGGCGGGUGGGGAUGGACUCGCGGCUUAUGAGCUUGUUGGUGGGGUAGUGGAUUACCAAGGCAUUGACCGGUAGCCGGCCUGGGAGGGGGGCCGGCGUCAUUGGUACUAAGGUACGGCCCAGACGCCUACGUGAGGCAGCAGGGGGGAAUAUUGCACAAUGGGCGGAAGCCUGAUGCAGCAACGCCGCGUGCGGGAUGACGGCCUUCGGGUUGUAAACCGCUUUCGCCUGUGACGAAGCGUUAGUGACGGUAAUGGGUAAAGAAGCACCGGCUAACUACGUG